Molecule: transfer RNA, 94 nt
Filed under: Desulfonema ishimotonii
Lineage: Bacteria; Pseudomonadati; Thermodesulfobacteriota; Desulfobacteria; Desulfobacterales; Desulfococcaceae
Also listed under: 1 other name
Description: tRNA-Ser
Rfam family: tRNA
About the family: Transfer RNA (tRNA) molecules are approximately 80 nucleotides in length. Their secondary structure includes four short double-helical elements and three loops (D, anti-codon, and T loops). Further hydrogen bonds mediate the characteristic L-shaped molecular structure. tRNAs have two regions of fundamental functional importance: the anti-codon, which is responsible for specific mRNA codon recognition, and the 3' end, to which the tRNAs corresponding amino acid is attached (by aminoacyl-tRNA synthetases). tRNAs cope with the degeneracy of the genetic code in two manners: having more than one tRNA (with a specific anti-codon) for a particular amino acid; and 'wobble' base-pairing, i.e. permitting non-standard base-pairing at the 3rd anti-codon position.
Source: RNAcentral
GGAGAGAUGACCGAGUUGGCUGAAGGUGCACGACUGGAAAUCGUGUGUGUCGUUUAUAGCGGCACCGAGGGUUCGAAUCCCUCUCUCUCCGCCA